CAGUCGCCGCGGGAAUACAGAGGCCUCAAGCGUUGUUCGGAUUCAUUGGGCGUAAAGGGUGCGUAGGUGGCUUGGUAAGUUGAAGGUGAAAUCUCGGGGCUUAACCCCGAAACUGCCUUCAAUACUGCUAGGCUCGAGGACUGUAGAGGAGAAUGAAAUUCACGGUGUAGCAGUGAAAUGCGUAGAUAUCGUGAGGAAGACCAGUGGCGAAGGCGAUUCUCUGGGCAGUUCCUGACACUGAGGCACGAAGGCCAGGGGAGCAAACGGGAUUAGAUACCCGCGUAGUCCCUGUCUCUUAUAC
Molecule: ribosomal RNA, 301 nt
Filed under: uncultured bacterium
Lineage: Bacteria
Description: partial 16S ribosomal RNA
Rfam family: Bacterial small subunit ribosomal RNA
Source: RNAcentral